GAGAGAGACGUGGUGGAGCUCAGAGAGCUGGAGAGAGACAUGGUGGAGCUCAGAGAGCUGGAGAGACCUGGAGAGAGACAUGGUGGAGCUCAGGGAGCUGGAGAGAGACAUGGUGGAGCUGGAGAGAGACAUGGUGGAGCUCAGAGAGAGACAUGGUGGAGCUCAGAGAGAGACAUGGUGGAGCUCAGAGAGAGACAUGGUGGAGCUCAGAGAGAGACAUGGUGGAGCUCAGAGAGAGACGUGGUGGAGCUCAGAGAGAGACGUGGUGGAGCUCAGAGAGAGACAUGGUGGAGCUCAGAGAGAGACGUGGUGGAGCUCAGAGAGAGACGUGGUGGAGCUCAGAGAGAGACGUGGUGGAGCUCAGAGAGCUGGAGAGAGACGUGGUGGAGCUCAGAGAGCUGGAGAGAGACAUGGUGGAGCUCAGAGAGCUGGAGAGAGACAUGGUGAAUGAGUAGGUGUUUCCUAACUUUUGACUGGUACUUUGUGAUCAUACUUUCCAUACCAAUAAAGCCUUUUGAGUUGAAAAGAGAGAGAGAGGGAAACAGAGAGAGAUGGAGAGAGAGGGAAACAGAGAGAGAGGGAAACAGAGAGAAAAGACAGAUGGAGGGAGAAAGAGAGAUGGAGAGAAAAAUAGAUUUUGUCAGUGAAAACAAUGUACUGAGAAAAUGUCAAAUUGGCUUUUUACGAAAUUACCAUACGACAGACCAUGUAUUCACACUGCACACCCUAAUUGACAAACAAACAAACCUAAACAAAGACAAAGUCUUGACUUGUUAAUUUCAAUAAAGCUUUUGACUCAAUGUGGCAUGAGGGUCUGCUAUUCAAAUUGAUGGAAAGUGGUGUUGGG
Long non-coding RNA from Oncorhynchus tshawytscha (Chinook salmon), 847 nucleotides. The record is from Ensembl. Lineage: Eukaryota; Metazoa; Chordata; Actinopteri; Salmoniformes; Salmonidae.